UUAAUUGAAACCAAAGAGAGGUAUAUCACUGUUAAUGAUAAGAAUGAGUGCACACUCCGAUUAAA
This 65-nucleotide transfer RNA is filed under the name Thesaurus albertalleni. RNAcentral's name for it is "tRNA-Asn". Lineage: Eukaryota; Metazoa; Arthropoda; Insecta; Coleoptera; Cucujidae. The record is from RNAcentral.